Molecule: ribosomal RNA, 254 nt
Filed under: uncultured bacterium
Lineage: Bacteria
Description: partial 16S ribosomal RNA
Rfam family: Bacterial small subunit ribosomal RNA
Source: RNAcentral
GUUCCUGGCUCAGGAUGAACGCUGGCGGCGUGCUUAACACAUGCAAGUCGAACGGACUUGGAUGUCGGAAGUUUUCGGAUGGAAGAUAUUCAAGUUAGUGGCGGACGGGUGAGUAACGCGUGGGUAACCUGCCCUGUACCGGGGGAUAACACUUAGAAAUAGGUGCUAAUACCGCAUAAGUGCACAGAGUCGCAUGACUUAGUGCAAAAAACUCCGGUGGUACAGGAUGGACCCGCGUCUGAUUAGCUGGUUGG